CCCGGGGCACAGAGCGCCAACUCGGCGUAGGUACCCGACCCGCCGUUGGUUCCGUGCACGUAGACGCGGUCGCCUUCGGAGAAUCCCCGCACAUCUUCGCCGAUUGAGACGAUCUCACCAGCGCCGUCCGAGCCCGGCGUGUAAGGGAGCGCGGGUUUGCGGGCGUACGCACCGCUUCGCAUGUAGGUGUCGACGGGAUUCACGCCGGCCGCGCGAAUGCGGACGAGGAUGUCCGAGGGGCCGGGCGUCGGAUCGGGAACCUCCUCGAGUCGCAUCACCGAGGGCGGACCGAAUUCACGAACGACGAUUGCAUGCAUCGUGCGCCUGCUGCGGCUUCCACACGCCUUCCACGAACGCUGCCCGUGUGAAUGCUAUCAUCAGAAGUUCGGUGGCCGAUGACCCUGCUCAGAUUGCACAAGACCCUCGGCGUCAAGGUGGGCUCUGGACGAGGGGUCCACGUCGGUGGCGGCGCACCAGUCGUCGUCCAGUCGAUGACAAUGACCGACACGGCGGAUGCCGAGGGCACGGCACGGCAGUGCAUCGAGCUCGCCGAAGCGGGAUCCGAAUUGGUCCGCGUCACGGUGAACCUGCCCGAGGCGGCGGCUGCAGUGCCCGAGAUCAAGUCGCGCAUGCUCGACGCCGGGUGCGGCGCUCCGCUGAUCGGAGACUUCCACUACAACGGCCACCUGCUGCUCA
RNAcentral lists this unclassified non-coding RNA (696 nucleotides) under uncultured fungus. RNAcentral's name for it is "sequence contains 18S rRNA gene, ITS1, 5.8S rRNA gene, ITS2, 28S rRNA gene". Lineage: Eukaryota; Fungi. The record is from RNAcentral.